UACGAAGGAUCCAAGCGUUAUCCGGAUUUAUUGGGCUUAAAGGGUGCGUAGGCGGACUAUUAAGUCAGUGGUGAAAGCCCCAGGCUCAACCUGGGAAUUGCCAUUGAUACUGAUGGUCUUGAGUACACUUGAAGUGGGCGGAAUGUGUCAUGUAGCGGUGAAAUGCUUAGAUAUGACAUAGAACACCAAUUGCGAAGGCAGCUCGUUACACGAAUAUUGACACUCAGGCACGAAAGCGUGGGGAUCAAACAGG
This 253-nucleotide ribosomal RNA is filed under the name uncultured bacterium. RNAcentral describes it as "partial 16S ribosomal RNA". It matches the Rfam family "Bacterial small subunit ribosomal RNA", at positions 524 to 776 of the family's 1533-position model. The record is from RNAcentral.